UACGUAGGCAGCAAGCGUUGUUCGGAAUUACUGGGCGUAAAGGGUGCGUAGGCGGCUUUUUAAGUUUGGUGUGAAAUCUCCCGGCUCAACUGGGAGGGUGCGCCGAAUACUGAGAAGCUAGAGUGUGGGAGAGGAAAGUGGAAUUCCUGGUGUAGCGGUGAAAUGCGUAGAUAUCGGAAAGAACAUCAGUGGCGAAGGCGGCUUCCUGGACUCAUACUGACGCUGAGGCACGAAAGCAUGGGUAGCAAACAGG
RNAcentral lists this ribosomal RNA (253 nucleotides) under uncultured bacterium. RNAcentral's name for it is "partial 16S ribosomal RNA". It matches the Rfam family "Bacterial small subunit ribosomal RNA", at positions 524 to 776 of the family's 1533-position model. The record is from RNAcentral.